RNAcentral lists this small RNA (187 nucleotides) under Arabidopsis thaliana (thale cress). RNAcentral describes it as "ATSL302080". The record is from RNAcentral. Lineage: Eukaryota; Viridiplantae; Streptophyta; Magnoliopsida; Brassicales; Brassicaceae.
UUAACCCCAAAAAUCUGUUAAAUUAAUUCUAUGCAUGAUGUGUGAUAUAUUACCAGAUUAAACUCUAGUAGUUAAACUCUAGUAGUUAACUUGUAAAGUAUAGCUCUCCGCUUAGUCUCUUAAACACCAUGAUGCACUCGUUGUACAACCGACAUUUUUUCUUUUAAGUAUAAUUUAACAUUUUAUU